UGGCUCUCGCAUCGAUGAAGAACGCAGCGAAAUGCGAUAAGUAAUGUGAAUUGCAGAAUUCAGUGAAUCAUCGAAUCUUUGAACGCACCUUGCGCUCCUUGGUAUUCCGAGGAGCAUGCCUGUUUGAGUGUCUUGAAGUCAUCAACCCAAGCCGUUUUACUGCGGCCGACGGUUGGACGUGGGGCGUGCUGCCGCUCGGCUGCUCCCCUCAAAUGUGUCGGUUGGGACUGUGGGUCAAACUCGAAAGGGCGUUGUACCAUCCUCGCUCCCUAGAGAUGCCUCCCCUCUUGUGCCCCUCCACGAUCUGCCUCUGAAGGGUGGCGAUCAAAACCUUUUGAAAUCUGACCUCAAAUCAGGUAGGACUACCCGCUGA
Molecule: unclassified non-coding RNA, 373 nt
Filed under: uncultured fungus
Lineage: Eukaryota; Fungi
Description: partial contains 5.8S ribosomal RNA and internal transcribed spacer 2
Rfam family: 5.8S ribosomal RNA (bases 1-133)
Source: RNAcentral